GACGGACGCUGGCGGCGUGCUUAACACAUGCAAGUCGAACGGAAAGGCCCUGCUUUUGUGGGGUGCUCGAGUGGCGAACGGGUGAGUAACACGUGAGUAACCUGCCCUUGACUUUGGGAUAACUUCAGGAAACUGGGGCUAAUACCGGAUAGGAGCUCCUGCUGCAUGGUGGGGGUGGGAAAGUUUCGGCGGUUGGGGAUGGACUCGCGGCUUAUCAGCUUGUUGGUGGGGUAGUGGCUUACCAAGGCUUUGACGGGUAGCCGGCCUGAGAGGGUGACCGGCCACAUUGGGACUGAGAUACGGCACAGAGGCCUACGGGAGGCAGCAGGGGGGAAUAGUGCACAAAGGGCGGAAGCCUGAUGCAGGAACGCCGCGUGUGGGAUGACGGCCUUCGGGUGGUAAACCGCUUUCGCCUGUGACGAAGCGUGAGUGACGGUAAUGGGUAAAGAAGCACCGGCUAACUACGU
Molecule: ribosomal RNA, 467 nt
Filed under: uncultured bacterium
Lineage: Bacteria
Description: partial 16S ribosomal RNA
Rfam family: Bacterial small subunit ribosomal RNA
Source: RNAcentral